This 165-nucleotide small nuclear RNA is filed under the name Oryzias latipes (Japanese medaka). RNAcentral's name for it is "U1 spliceosomal RNA (ENSORLG00015000935.1)". It matches the Rfam family "U1 spliceosomal RNA". From Rfam's summary of the family: U1 is a small nuclear RNA (snRNA) component of the spliceosome (involved in pre-mRNA splicing). Lineage: Eukaryota; Metazoa; Chordata; Actinopteri; Beloniformes; Adrianichthyidae. The record is from RNAcentral.
AUACUUACCUGGCAGGGGAGAUACCAUGAUCAUGAAGGUGGUUCACCCAGGGUGAGGCUCAGCCAUUGCACUGAGGCUGUUGCUGACCUUUGCGAAUUCCCCAAAUGUGGGAAUCUCAACUGCAUAAUUUCUGAUAGUGGGGGACUGCGUCCGCGCUCUCCCCUG